AGUGAACGCUGGCGGUAGGCCUAACACAUGCAAGUCGAACGGCAGCACAGUAAGAGCUUGCUCUUACGGGUGGCGAGUGGCGGACGGGUGAGGAAUACAUCGGAAUCUACUUUUUCGUGGGGGAUAACGUAGGGAAACUUACGCUAAUACCGCAUACGACCUACGGGUGAAAGCAGGGGAUCUUCGGACCUUGCGCGAUUGAAUGAGCCGAUGUCGGAUUAGCUAGUUGGCGGGGUAAAGGCCCACCAAGGCGACGAUCCGUAGCUGGUCUGAGAGGAUGGUCCGCCCACUUGGAACUGAGCCACGGCCCAGCCCCCUACGGGGGGCAGCGGGGGGAAAUUUUGGACAAGGGGCGCAAGCCUGACCCCGCCAUCCCGGGUGGGUGAAGAAGGCCUUCGGGUUUUAAAGCCCUUUUUUUGGGAAAAAAAAGCAGCAGGUUAAUCCCCCGCUUUUCUGACGGUACCCAAAGAAUAAGCCCCGGCUAACUGCGU
This 491-nucleotide ribosomal RNA is filed under the name uncultured bacterium. RNAcentral describes it as "partial 16S ribosomal RNA". It matches the Rfam family "Bacterial small subunit ribosomal RNA", at positions 29 to 506 of the family's 1533-position model. The record is from RNAcentral.